This 232-nucleotide long non-coding RNA is filed under the name Elaeis guineensis (African oil palm). RNAcentral's name for it is "long non-coding RNA (EGUI_LNC073206)". Lineage: Eukaryota; Viridiplantae; Streptophyta; Magnoliopsida; Arecales; Arecaceae. The record is from RNAcentral.
CCAUUUGAUCUUAUGUAGCUCAAUUCAACAGAGCUAUAUUCGAAGUCUGCGACCUAGAUCACUCAAUUGCAAUAUCCGUCCAAAAGAAUAGAUUGUUGAUGGACGACUUCAAAAAGUCACUAUUGAAGACCUUUCUUCGAGAUUUUCCAAAAAUACUGGCUCAAACAAAGAAAUAUGUCCGAUUAAAAGAUUCUCUGAUGAAAGAAACCGUCUGAAUAACCCCAACUGUGAA